Molecule: RNase P RNA, 381 nt
Filed under: Candidatus Melainabacteria bacterium GWA2_34_9
Lineage: Bacteria; Bacillati; Candidatus Melainabacteria
Description: RNase P RNA component class A
Rfam family: Bacterial RNase P class A
About the family: Ribonuclease P (RNase P) is a ubiquitous endoribonuclease, found in archaea, bacteria and eukarya as well as chloroplasts and mitochondria.
Source: RNAcentral
GGAAGUAGUCAGGGUAAUCGCGAAAAGUGAGACUUUGAAAAAAGCCCCGUUUUUUGAGGAAAGUCCGGGCUCCACAGGGCAGGUCGCCGGAUAACGUCCGGUGCAGGUGACUGUGAGGAUAGUGCCACAGAAAUGUUAACCGCCUAUGUAAAGCUUACGCUUUGCAGGCAAGGGUGCAACGGUGGUGUAAGAGACCACCAGCAACAUCGAGAGGUGUUGGCUAGGUAAACCCCGACCGGAGCAAGGUUAAAAUGGGAAUUAAGGCUGCCCGCCAUUCCCGGGUAAACCGCUCGAGGUGUUUAGAAAUAAACAUCCCAGAUAGAUGAUUAUCACGAUAUCUAUGGAUAUCGACAGAACCCGGCUUAUAGACUACUUCCAAUA